This is a long non-coding RNA of Gallus gallus (chicken), 1114 nucleotides long. NCBI's taxonomy places the organism in Eukaryota, Metazoa, Chordata, Aves, Galliformes, Phasianidae. The record is from Ensembl.
AUCUGCUCUUCAGCAUGAUACUCCACUAUCCAAUUGCAUAAGGUUCUUUUCUACUUAUUCUUCAUCAACCAUUUUUCUUUCUUUCUUUUUUCCCCUGACUAUUUCAGGGGAUGAAAGAGAACAGGGGAGUUUACUUUGCACCAUGCUGAAAACUGAUAAAUCUUUAACCCUGCAUGUGAACAAGCCAGGAACCAAUGAAAUUCUGACAGGGCUGAAGAAGGUCCUUCAUCACUCUCACAGAAGAAUGCAAGGCAUGCUGAGUGUGAAGACGAUGCUGCCCUGUGGUCUCCUCACCAACAGUGCCUGUGAAACUUUAACAGUGGGAGGCCCUUCCUGCCUUCUUGCCAGCGGUGUGCCUGGCUGGGAAUACUCACCAAUGUACAGCUUUAUAUAUACUGAUGUAAGUCAGGGGCAGAGUGUAGGAGUCAAACAUCCCUGUUGGGUGUUGGGAACUUUUCCCAAGGAACUGACGUUUAUCCAUAGCUGCAGCAGUCUCCUUCCCUGACUAUUUAGGCAUCAGUCCGUGGCUGAAACUGUAGUACUAAAAACAAGCUGGAGAAAAGGGCAAGUGUAUUUACAGCAGUAAGAGCAAAACGUCUAUAUUCAUAAAUACUGCAAAGGACAAGCCUCUGCCAACAAGGCAUUGAAGCAGAGCUGCGGCAGGAUCCAGCGGUCCUCCUGGAGACGUGGUGGCAACGACAUCUAGUGUCAAGAGUCCAAAUAGGAGGUUUCACACCAGCAUCCUCCCCAUUGGGCCUGGAAACCUACUUUAUUUAAUCCAGUCUUCUUCACAGUAUAAUGCUUCCUUCCCUUCUUUAUGGUCUCUACGAGAUAUUUUAUUGUUGGUGGUCUUAAAUGUUUUCUAUCUGUUUAAUGUAUCACAAGGUAGGAAGACACAACCAAAAAUAUAUCAUCUAUCAGGUUUAUUCCAAGCAUACAAAGCAUCAGGGAUGACUGCAUCAAGGAUGAGGAGAGUCUUCUCUUUAGAAAGAAGAGGGAGAAAGAGGUUUUCAAUUGGCAGAAUUAUCACGUUAUAAGACCGUGGUGGAGAAGCUAUAACUUGAUGUAUGUGCCUUAUGAUGUCUAACUAAUAUUUUUUUUCCUACUCUGUGCU